RNAcentral lists this ribosomal RNA (403 nucleotides) under uncultured bacterium. RNAcentral describes it as "partial 16S ribosomal RNA". It matches the Rfam family "Bacterial small subunit ribosomal RNA", at positions 30 to 526 of the family's 1533-position model. The record is from RNAcentral.
AUUGAACGCUGGCGGCAGGCCUAACACAUGCAAGUCGAGCGAGCGGCGGACGGGUGAGUAAUGUAUGGGGACUGCCCGAUAGAGGGGGAUAACUACUGGAAACGGUGGCUAAUACCGCAUACUAUCGGAUAACCCAUAUGGGAUUAGCUAGUAGGUGGGGUAAAGGCUCACCUAGUCGACGAUCUCUAGCUGGUCUGAGAGGAAGAUCAGCCACACUGGGACGUGGACACUGACCAGACUCCUACGGAGGCAGGAGUGGGGAAUGUUGCACAAGAGGCGCAAGCCUGAUGCAGCCAGGCCGCGUGUAUGAAGAAGGCCUUAGGGUGGUAAAGUACUUUCAGCGGGGAGGCGUUACCCGGAGAAGAAGCACCGGCUAACUCCGUGCCAGCCGCCGCGGUAAUUC